GGGGAUUUAGCUCAGUGGUAGAGUGCUUGCCUAGCAAGCGCGAGGCCCUGGGUUCGGUCCCCAGCUCCG
This 69-nucleotide transfer RNA is filed under the name Rattus norvegicus (Norway rat). It matches the Rfam family "tRNA". Rfam says of the family: Transfer RNA (tRNA) molecules are approximately 80 nucleotides in length. Lineage: Eukaryota; Metazoa; Chordata; Mammalia; Rodentia; Muridae. The record is from Rfam by way of RNAcentral.